GAAUGGGAGGGGAAGGCCUCGCCCGAUGGAGAGUUAGUGGUGGAGUAUUUACUGACCUUCUGGGAAAAGCUCUCUGAGCUCAUGGGACUGGCCAGGGAGAACCUAGCCAGGGACUAAGGGAGGCAGAAGGUCUGGUACGACCGCUCAGCCUAUGGCACUGGGGACCAGGUGAGGGGUCUCAUCCCGGUGCGGAAGAAUAAGCUGCAAGGUGCCUGGGACGGGCCCUUCAAGAUCAUCAAGCAGCUAAAUCAGGAGAACAAUAUGGUGGAACUGCCCAACCGGGCUCUCAGCCACUGAGGGGACCAGGUCCACGUGAUGGAACCAAAAAUUACGGAACUAUAAAUUAUUGUGUGUGUGUGUGUGUGUGUGUGUGUGUGUGUGUGUGUGAGAGAGAGAGAGACUUGUACUGGCCGUGUGUGGCCAGUGGGAGAAGGGGGAAAAUCCCCCUGGUGGGUCUCCUCCCUGAGACAGGAGCCGGCCCCUUGCUGGAAUCAAUUCCCCUCUCUGACCAGCUAACCCCUGCCCUGCAGGCAGAGAUCAGUGAGGUGCUGCAUUCCUACCAACAGCUGUUUUCCAACUGGCCUGGGCUCACUAAUGGAGCUGUCCACUGGGUGGAGACAGCAGCUGGCACUCCAUCCGGUGUUCCCCAUUCAGAGUAACAGGGAACACAGCCCAGGCCCUGCAGGGAGAGGUCAGAGACAUGCUGGCUUUAGGGGUGAUCCAGCUAUCCACUAGCCCCAGGGGCCUCUCCCGUGGUGCUGAUCCCCAGGAAAGAUGAGUCGAUCUGAUUCUGUGUGGCCUAUCGGAAGCUCAAUGCCAUCACCAUGUCUGAUUCUUGCUUAUCCCUAGGCCUGAUGAGAUCCUAGACAAGUUGAGAUGGGACUCAGUACCCCAUGACCAGGUAUCUCACCAAAGGUGGAAUACUGGAAGGUGCCUUUCGAUCCAGAUGCCAGGUUGAAACCUGCUUUUGUCAUCCCUUUGGGGUUGUACAAGUUCCUGGUCCAACCUUUCAGCCUAAAGGAGGUGCCAGUCACCUACCAGCACCAGGGGCUGAUCCAGCAGCUUGCAUGGAUACUAUGGCCGGCCCUUCAUAACCUGAGACCCAGGAGCGGGAUGCGACCAGUGACUCUUGGCCCAGGAAGCAAGACAAAAGCCAGAGGAGGAGCAACGAGCAGAGCAGGGGCCAAGCAGCUGGAAGCGAGUCAGUCUCGGCUGGCUUGGGGCACAGGGGGAGGGCCAGAGCCCUGGCUCUGGACUCCCCUCCCCCCAAGAUGAACUUGGCUGAAAGUAACUGAUUUCUGUACUAACAAGUUCUGUUCUACGCUGUGUUCCUAUCGACUAAUAAACCUGUUUUACCGGCUA
This is a long non-coding RNA of Dermochelys coriacea (leatherback sea turtle), 1362 nucleotides long. RefSeq lists it as uncharacterized. The transcript is spliced from 2 exons. Lineage: Eukaryota; Metazoa; Chordata; Testudines; Dermochelyidae. The record is from RefSeq and is a predicted model, not a curated record.